This is a long non-coding RNA of Fukomys damarensis (Damara mole-rat), 390 nucleotides long. RefSeq lists it as uncharacterized. NCBI's taxonomy places the organism in Eukaryota, Metazoa, Chordata, Mammalia, Rodentia, Bathyergidae. The record is from RefSeq and is a predicted model, not a curated record. The transcript has 3 exons.
GUCGCAGAGAGCUGCGUGGAUGAAGGCCGCUGCGGAGUAGAAGAAGACGCUGAGGUCAAAGGUGGGAAUAAUCCCCUGCUGCAGAGGAUGAAAGGAGGGUCAGAGAGGAAACCCACAGGAGCUGCAAGUGGAGCAACAGAGACUUAACCUGAGCAGCCUCGCCUACCAACCUAGGUGAACAGCUGGUGUCUGUGUGACAGCAGAGAAGCUUCCAGAGCCUGCGCGGCUGGAGAAGGAUGAACAGUGGGCGAGGCAGCACGGAGGACGGCUCAGCUCCCGAACAUCUUUGUAGGCUACGGCAGAAUUUGGGUUUCCAGCUACCCAGGAGGUGAAACAGGAGGAUCAUGGUUCAAGGCCAGCCUGGCUCCAUGGACAGACUGUCUCUCUGUC